GGGGGCCUUUGAAGGCUUUAGUUGGCGCAGCUAACGCGAUAAGUAGACCGCCUGGGGGAGUACGGUCGCAAGACUAAAACUCAAAUGAAUUGACGGGGGCCCGCACAAGCGGUGGAGCAUGUGGUUUAAUUCGAUGCAACGCGAAGAACCUUACCUGGCCUUGACAUACUAGAAACUUUCCAGAGAUGGAUUGGUGCCUUCGGGAAUCUAGAUACAGGUGCUGCAUGGCUGUCGUCAGCUCGUGUCGUGAGAUGUUGGGUUAAGUCCCGCAACGAGCGCAACCCUUUUCCUUACUUGCCAGCAUUUCAGAUGGGAACUUUAAGGAUACUGCCAGUGACAAACUGGAAGAAAGCGGGGACUACCUCCAGUCAUCAUGGGCCUUACGGCCAGGGCUACACACGUGCUACAAUGGUCGGUACAAAGGGGUGCUACACAGCGAUGUGAUGCUAAUCUCAAAAAGCCGAUCGUAAUCCGGAUUGGAGUCUGCAACUCCACUCCCUGAAAUCGGAAUCCCUAGUAAUCGCGGAUCAAAAUGCCGCGGUGAAUACGUUCCCGGGCCUUGUACACACCGCCCGUCACACCAUGGGAGUUUGUUGCACCAGAAGUAGGUAGUCUAACCGCAAGGAGGACGCUUACCACGGUGUGGCCGAUGACUGGGGUGGAAGUCGUCAACAACGGUAACCGUAAACAC
RNAcentral lists this ribosomal RNA (691 nucleotides) under Acinetobacter junii. RNAcentral describes it as "bacterial SSU rRNA". It matches the Rfam family "Bacterial small subunit ribosomal RNA", at positions 825 to 1509 of the family's 1533-position model. Lineage: Bacteria; Pseudomonadati; Pseudomonadota; Gammaproteobacteria; Moraxellales; Moraxellaceae. The record is from RNAcentral.